GACGAACGCUGGCGGCGUGCCUAAUACACGCAAGUCGAGCGGAAUGAUGAAGAAGCUUGCUUCUUCUGAUUUUAGCGGCGGACGGGUGAGUAACACGUGGGCAACCUACCUUGUAGAUUGGGAUAACUCCGGGAAACCGGGGCUAAUACCGAAUAAUCCAUUUUGCUUCAUGGCGAGAUGUUGAAAGACGGUUUCGGCUGUCACUACAAGAUGGGCCCGCGGCGCAUUAGCUAGUUGGUAGGGUAAUGGCCUACCAAGGCGACGAUGCGUAGCCGACCUGAGAGGGUGAUCGGCCACACUGGGACUGAGACACGGCCCAGACUCCUACGGGAGGCAGCAGUAGGGAAUCUUCCACAAUGGACGAAAGUCUGAUGGAGCAACGCCGCGUGAGUGAAGAAGGUUUUCGGAUCGUAAAACUCUGUUGUAAGGGAAGAACACGUACGAGAGUAACUGCUCGUACCUUGACGGUACCUUAUUAGAAAGCCACGGCUAACUACGUG
Molecule: ribosomal RNA, 500 nt
Filed under: uncultured bacterium
Lineage: Bacteria
Description: bacterial SSU rRNA
Rfam family: Bacterial small subunit ribosomal RNA
Source: RNAcentral